RNAcentral lists this ribosomal RNA (498 nucleotides) under uncultured bacterium. RNAcentral describes it as "partial 16S ribosomal RNA". It matches the Rfam family "Bacterial small subunit ribosomal RNA", at positions 30 to 523 of the family's 1533-position model. The record is from RNAcentral.
AUUGAACGCUGGCGGCAUGCCUUACACAUGCAAGUCGAACGGUAACAGGUCUUCGGAUGCUGACGAGUGGCGAACGGGUGAGUAAUACAUCGGAACGUGCCUAGUAGUGGGGGAUAACUACUCGAAAGAGUGGCUAAUACCGCAUGAGAUCUACGGAUGAAAGCAGGGGAUCGCAAGACCUUGUGCUACUAGAGCGGCCGAUGGCAGAUUAGGUAGGUGGUGGGAUAAAAGCUUACCAAGCCGACGAUCUGUAGCUGGUCUGAGAGGACGAUCAGCCACACUGGGACUGAGACACGGCCCAGACGCCUACGGGAGGCAGCAGUGGGGAAUUUUGGACAAUGGGCGCAAGCCUGAUCCAGCAAUGCCGCGUGCAGGAUGAAGGCCUUCGGGUUGUAAACUGCUUUCGUACGGAACGAAAAGCCCCGGGUUAAUACCCUGGGGUCAUGACGGUACCGUAAGAAUAAGCACCGGCUAACUACGUGCCAGCAGCCGCGGUAA